This 597-nucleotide ribosomal RNA is filed under the name uncultured bacterium. RNAcentral describes it as "bacterial SSU rRNA". It matches the Rfam family "Bacterial small subunit ribosomal RNA", at positions 67 to 655 of the family's 1533-position model. The record is from RNAcentral.
CGGCAGCACGAGGAGCUUGCUCCUUGGUGGCGAGUGGCGGACGGGUGAGUAACGCGUAGGAAUUUACCUUGUAGUGGGGGACAACCCGGGGAAACUCGGGCUAAUACCGCAUAAUCUUUACGGAGCAAAGUGGGGGAUCUUCGGACCUCACGCUAUAAGAUGAGCCUGCGUCGGAUUAGCUUGUUGGUGGGGUAAAGGCCUACCAAGGUGACGAUCCGUAGCUGGUCUGAGAGGACGACCAGCCACACUGGGACUGAGACACGGCCCAGACUCCUACGGGAGGCAGCAGUGGGGAAUAUUGGACAAUGGGCGCAAGCCUGAUCCAGCAAUGCCGCGUGUGUGAAGAAGGCCUUCGGGUUGUAAAGCACUUUCAGUGGGGAAGAAAGGCUCAAGGUUAAUAACCUUGAGAGUUGACGUUACCCACAGAAGAAGCACUGGCUAACUCUGUGCCAGCAGCCGCGGUAAUACAGAGAGUGCAAGCGUUAAUCGGAAUUACUGGGCGUAAAGCGCGCGUAGGUGGAUAUUUUAGUCGGAUGUGAAAGCCCUGGGCUUAACCUGGGAACUGCAUCCGAAACUGGGUAUCUAGAGUAUAGUAGA